Non-coding RNA from Zygosaccharomyces bailii CLIB 213, 100 nucleotides. NCBI's taxonomy places the organism in Eukaryota, Fungi, Ascomycota, Saccharomycetes, Saccharomycetales, Saccharomycetaceae. The record is from Rfam.
GGGCGUGUGGUCUAGUGGUAUGAUUCUCGCUUUGGGCAUUAUCCGAGAAAUUGGAUUGCAAAUGUGCGAGAGGCCCUGGGUUCAAUUCCCAGUAUGCCCC